This 1170-nucleotide ribosomal RNA is filed under the name Salmonella enterica subsp. enterica serovar Paratyphi B var. L(+) tartrate +. RNAcentral's name for it is "partial 23S ribosomal RNA". It matches the Rfam family "Bacterial large subunit ribosomal RNA", at positions 1 to 1201 of the family's 2925-position model. The record is from RNAcentral. Lineage: Bacteria; Pseudomonadati; Pseudomonadota; Gammaproteobacteria; Enterobacterales; Enterobacteriaceae.
GGGUUGUGAGGUUAAGCGACUAAGCGUACACGGUGGAUGCCCUGGCAGUCAGAGGCGAUGAAGGGCGUGCUAAUCUGCGAUAAGCGCCGGUAAGGUGAUAUGAACCGUUAUAACCGGCGAUACCCGAAUGGGGAAACCCAGUGUGAUUCGUCACACUAUCAUUAACUGAAUCCAUAGGUUAAUGAGGCGAACCGGGGGAACUGAAACAUCUAAGUACCCCGAGGAAAAGAAAUCAACCGAGAUUCCCCCAGUAGCGGCGAGCGAACGGGGAGGAGCCCAGAGCCUGAAUCAGCAUGUGUGUUAGUGGAAGCGUCUGGAAAGGCGCGCGAUACAGGGUGACAGCCCCGUACACAAAAGCGCAUGUGUUGUGAGCUCGAUGAGUAGGGCGGGACACGUGGUAUCCUGUCUGAAUAUGGGGGGACCAUCCUCCAAGGCUAAAUACUCCUGACUGACCGAUAGUGAACCAGUACCGUGAGGGAAAGGCGAAAAGAACCCCGGCGAGGGGAGUGAAAAAGAACCUGAAACCGUGUACGUACAAGCAGUGGGAGCACAGGUUUACCUGUGUGACUGCGUACCUUUUGUAUAAUGGGUCAGCGACUUAUAUUCUGUAGCAAGGUUAACCGUAUAGGGGAGCCGGAGGGAAACCGAGUCUUAAUUGGGCGUUAAGUUGCAGGGUAUAGACCCGAAACCCGGUGAUCUAGCCAUGGGCAGGUUGAAGGUUGGGUAACACUAACUGGAGGACCGAACCGACUAAUGUUGAAAAAUUAGCGGAUGACCUGUGGCUGGGGGUGAAAGGCCAAUCAAACCGGGAGAUAGCUGGUUCUCCCCGAAAGCUAUUUAGGUAGCGCCUCGUGAAUUCAUCUCCGGGGGUAGAGCACUGUUUCGGCUAGGGGGCCAUCCCGGCUUACCAACCCGAUGCAAACUGCGAAUACCGGAGAAUGUUAUCACGGGAGACACACGGCGGGUGCUAACGUCCGUCGUGAAGAGGGAAACAACCCAGACCGCCAGCUAAGGUCCCAAAGUCAUGGUUAAGUGGGAAACGAUGUGGGAAGGCCCAGACAGCCAGGAUGUUGGCUUAGAAGCAGCCAUCAUUUAAAGAAAGCGUAAUAGCUCACUGGUCGAGUCGGCCUGCGCGGAAGAUGUAACGGGGCUAAACCAUGCACCGAAGCU